AAUGAAGAACGUAGCGAAAUGCGAUACGUAAUGUGAAUUGCAAAUUCAGUGAAUCAUCGAGUCUUUGAACGCACAUUGCGCCCCCUGGUAUUCCGGGGGGCAUGCCUGUCCGAGCGUCAUUGCUGCCCUCAAGCACGGCUUGUGUGUUGGGCCCCGUCCUCCGAUCCCGGGGGACGGGCCCGAAAGGCAGCGGCGGCACCGCGUCCGGUCCUCGAGCGUAUGGGGCUUUGUCACCCGCUCUGUAGGCCCGGCCGGCGCUUGCCGAUCAACCCAAAUUUUUAUCCAGGUUGACCUCGGAUCAGGUAGGGAUACCCGCUGAACUUAAGCAUAUCAAUACGCGGAGGA
This 345-nucleotide unclassified non-coding RNA is filed under the name soil metagenome. RNAcentral's name for it is "partial contains 5.8S ribosomal RNA, internal transcribed spacer 2, and large subunit ribosomal RNA". The stretch from base 2 to 119 matches the Rfam family "5.8S ribosomal RNA", at positions 36 to 154 of the family's 154-position model. The record is from RNAcentral.